This 1405-nucleotide long non-coding RNA is filed under the name Malus domestica (apple). Its description in RNAcentral is "long non-coding RNA (MDOM_LNC018070)". Lineage: Eukaryota; Viridiplantae; Streptophyta; Magnoliopsida; Rosales; Rosaceae. The record is from RNAcentral.
AUGUUAUUGAUUUGCAUAAUACAUAUUCAAGAUGAAGUUGUGUAGUGACCACCACAGCCAAAUUGCCGUGCCCUAUUUCAUUAUGUGUUUAAGUUUAACCCCGUUGAACCUUGUGUAGCCUAUGUUCUUUGUUAACCCACACUAUCCUCACCUAGCCUAGAUUAGGACCAUCCAUACCCUUGUUCUUGAAGCAUAGUAAAACAUAAUUUAGAGGGAAUUCCUUUUGUUGAACUUUUGCAGAAAAACAAGUGUGGGGGAAGCGAUUCUUAUGUGUGUGUGUGCCAAAGUCCUUAAUAAGGCACGGGUAGAAAAGAAAAAGAAAAAAAAAACAUUCGUGGAAAAUAGAAUGAAAAGAAGAAAAGUUGUGAAAAAGAGCCCUAAGUGUUGCUUGAAUCUUCCAUUUGUAUUUAAAAGUUGAUUCUGCAUUCUAAAGUGAAUUCCAAAGUGUCUAUUUCAUUGCUUUGCUUGCUAUCGCUUUAAGAACAUUUGUUAUUCCUAUCCUUUCUUUAUUAGCCAAUACCCCAAGCCCCGUUACAACCCUUGACUUCUAUCUUGAGUUUUAUGUGUUUCAAUUUGUGGAGUUUGAAUUUGGUAUGAGCAUAUGGUGUCACUGGUUCUCGCAUCUAAGUAGUAGCAUUCCAUUUAUGAGAUCAUAUCUAAACAUGCUUAUUAAUACCAGAAAAUGCUUUCUUGUUAUACAUAUAUGUGAGUACUAGUUUUCAUGUUUACAUCAAUCUUCUCACAUGUACCUAGUGUAGGGUGUGUAGUCAGAAAAUCUGAGUGAAAAUUGAGUGCAUAUCUUGUAAGGAAUUGAGCAAAUUCUCUAAGCCAUGUUACUACAUUCAAAACAUCGUUUUAAUUAGUUAAAUGUGAACUAGUAAGUGGUGACUGUGAUUAAGUAUGUGCUCAAGUGUUAAGUUGACUAAAAUCUAUGGGAAUGAUGAUUUUUAACUUGUCAUGUGCGUUGGAAAUCCCUGAGGCAAACGUUGGAAGGUUUAGGUUGUGUUUUGUUUUCUUUAUUUUGCUCGAGGACUAGCAAAAGUUAAGUGUGGGGGUAUUUGAUAAGCUCAUAUUUAUAUAUAUUUUACAUAAAAUUCACUUGUCUUUUCUUAGUUAAUUCCUUAUAUUUUUGAGCUAUUUACUAUGUUUUUGUGUUUUGUGUGAUUUAUCAAGCAAAGAAAAGAAAAGUAGCACAAGUGAGAUAUUAAGUAACAAAUUCGUCAAAACUGCCUGUGCAGAUUAGCUGACUUUGGAAGCAUGUUACGAACAGCUCAGAAUGAAUAAGAGAAUGAGCCUUAUAUGGUUGGAAAGCUACGGAUGUCUAUUUUCGGGACCAAUUUACGGAUUGUUAAUAUCAUUUUUCUAGAAGAAGUUAUGGGCAUUGUAACACUGAAAGGUUCAGAAA